AUGAUGGAGCAAGUGAAGGCCAUCCGAGAAGCCAUCCAGGUAGCCUAUGACGCCAGUUCAGCUCUUCAGAGUAAUGUUCAGAAAUCCUGCGACCUUGCGGCUCGUUAUACUGAGUUGGAGAACAAACACAUUCAGCUCGAGCUUGAUCUGAAACUGGCCCAGGAGAACUUGACGAAGGCGAAGGAGGAAGCAAAAGACAAGGUGAGGGAUGCCCUGAAGAAGAAGGACCUUGACUUGGCUGAGAUGCAGAAAGCGGCUUUAGAGAAGACCAAGCUCGCAGAUGAGAAGUUGGCUUCAGUCACCAAGCUUGAAGAAGAAAACACCAAUCUGAAAGCUGCUCUUGAUGCUGCCAACAAGGAGGUCAGUCGACUGAUAAGUGAUAAGAUUGCUCUGAGUGACAAGGCCAGUGAGUUGGUGGGAAAGAAGAACGAUCUGGAGGCUUAUCUGGGCGGACUCGCCAAGAAGCUAUUCCUCAUGCUUGAAGAAUUUUGCCAGAACUUUGAAGAGGAGACUGGUCGACUGGAAAUAAACUUGGAUCCCAUCAACUCUCCUGUGAAAGAUGAAGUCGCCAUGAAUGUGCUCCGACUCGAAUCUCGCGUUGCUGCCGUCGUUGACUAUCUUGCAAGGCUGAAGGUCGCAACUUCUCGCAUCGACACAACACUCUGGCCAAGAGAGACGCUCCAUAACGAUCUCGAGUCUCUGAUGACUCGACUGAACGCGGUCCCAAGUCGAGUGUAG
Molecule: ribosomal RNA, 738 nt
Filed under: Triticum aestivum (bread wheat)
Lineage: Eukaryota; Viridiplantae; Streptophyta; Magnoliopsida; Poales; Poaceae
Description: partial small subunit ribosomal RNA
Source: RNAcentral